Molecule: long non-coding RNA, 489 nt
Organism: Grammomys surdaster
Lineage: Eukaryota; Metazoa; Chordata; Mammalia; Rodentia; Muridae
Exons: 3
Source: RefSeq, a predicted model, not a curated record
CAGCAGCUUCCUCGGCGGCGGCCCCCGCGGCACCCAGGCAGCGGACGAAGGGACUUAAAAGCGGCGGCGGUGAAGACAGCACCGGAGGCCUCGGCACUUCCGGUUCCUCGAGCCCCGCCCUCCGACAGAGGAAGGCUAGCGGCCGGACCAAGAAAGGAUGGCUCUCGCCUCUGUGCGCGAGCAGGCCCCACAGCGCCACCGAGCGGCGGGAGGAGGCGCGCCCAGUGGACGGCCUGAAAGGAGGGAAAACAGAAGCACAGUGUACCUAUCAAGAACCCUGAGAAGUGCCAGGCAUGGCGGUGCACACCUUUAACCUCAGCACUCUGGAGGUAAAGACUGGGACAUCUAGGUCCCUCCUGCUGACUCAUGCUGAGGCUGAGGCCUGGCUGUUUCUGCUGGGUAGUACCACCGCUGCUGAUUCCUGUUCACUAUCCCGACUCUACUGAACUGGACUGUUAGUGUAUCUGUGAAGUGUUUGCAAGUAAACUG